UACGAGGGGUGCAAGUGUUGUUCGGAAUCACUGGGCGUAAAGGGAGCGUAGGCGGUUUUUUAAGUCAGAGGUUUAAUCUUUGGGCCUAACCCAAAGUUUGCCUUUGAAACUGGAAGGCUGGAGUGAGGGAGAGGUGGACGGAAUUUCCGGUGUAGCGGUGGAAUGCGUAGAUAUCGGGAAGAACACCAGUAGCGAAGGCGGUCCACUGGCCCUUAACUGACGCUGAGGCUCGAAAGCGUGGGGAGCAAACAGG
This 253-nucleotide ribosomal RNA is filed under the name uncultured bacterium. Its description in RNAcentral is "partial 16S ribosomal RNA". It matches the Rfam family "Bacterial small subunit ribosomal RNA", at positions 524 to 776 of the family's 1533-position model. The record is from RNAcentral.